UCCGGUUUGACACCGGCAGUCUCGCUAGAGUCCUCGCCAUUACGCGUUAGCAACUAGCGACAAGGGUUGCGCUCGUUAAGGGACUUAACCCGACACUUCACAGCACGAGCUGACGACAGCCAUGCAGCACCUGUGCACGAGCUCCGAAGAGCCCCGCAGGUUUCCCCACGAGUUCCCGUGCAUGUCAAGCCCAGGUAAGGUUCUUCGCGUUGCGUCGAAUUGAACCACAUGCUCCACCGCUUGUGCGGGCCCCCGUCAAUUCCUUUGAGUUUUAGCCUUGCGGCCGUACUCCCCAGGCGGGGUGCUUAAUGCGUUAGCUUCGGCACGGACGGAGUCGACACCGCCCACACCUAGCACCCAUCGUUUACGGCGUGGACUAC
RNAcentral lists this unclassified non-coding RNA (380 nucleotides) under uncultured bacterium. RNAcentral describes it as "contains 16S-23S intergenic spacer region". The record is from RNAcentral.